This 468-nucleotide ribosomal RNA is filed under the name uncultured bacterium. RNAcentral's name for it is "partial 16S ribosomal RNA". It matches the Rfam family "Bacterial small subunit ribosomal RNA", at positions 28 to 507 of the family's 1533-position model. The record is from RNAcentral.
GACGAACGCUGGCGGCGUGCUUAACACAUGCAAGUCGAACGGAAAGGCCCUGCUUUUGUGGGGUGCUCGAGUGGCGAACGGGUGAGUAACACGUGAGUAACCUGCCCUUGACUUUGGGAUAACUUCAGGAAACUGGGGCUAAUACCGGAUAGGAGCUCCUGCUGCAUGGUGGGGGUUGGAAAGUUUCGGCGGUUGGGGAUGGACUCGCGGCUUAUCAGCUUGUUGGUGGGGUAGUGGCUUACCAAGGCUUUGACGGGUAGCCGGCCUGAGAGGGUGACCGGCCACAUUGGGACUGAGAUACGCACCAGACUCCUACCGGAGGAAGCAGUGGGGAAUAUUGCACAAUGGGCGGAAGCCUGAUGCAGCAACGCAGCGCGGGGGAUGACGGCCUUCGGGUUGUAAACCGCUUUCGCCUGUGACGAAGAGUGAGGGACGGUAAUGGGUAAAGAAGCAACGGCUAACUACGGG